Molecule: non-coding RNA, 71 nt
Organism: Microthyrium microscopicum
Lineage: Eukaryota; Fungi; Ascomycota; Dothideomycetes; Microthyriales; Microthyriaceae
Source: the annotation of a GenBank genome assembly
GCUUCGGUGGUUUAGUGGUAAAAUCCAUCGUUGCCAUCGAUGGGCCCCGUGUUCGAUUCACGGCCGAUGCA